Molecule: long non-coding RNA, 396 nt
Organism: Peromyscus leucopus (white-footed mouse)
Lineage: Eukaryota; Metazoa; Chordata; Mammalia; Rodentia; Cricetidae
Exons: 3
Source: RefSeq, a predicted model, not a curated record
UGGAAAUUGAGUGAUCAAUGGGGAUUUAUUGAGGGAAAUUUAUUGAAUUUUUAAAUAGAUUGUGACAGUUGCCUUCUCCAGAAGAGAAACCAUGGGAACCUUUUGAAGAAGAAUUGUGCUGUAAGGAAAGGAGGUCUGGGCAGAAGAAUCCAUGAAACCACGAUUGAUGAAUCACAUCAGGAUAUGAGGAUACCCGUUUGUAGACCUGAGUCAGUCCGUUAUUUUGCUGUGUGCUUAUCAUCCACAAAGUGCUAGUAUUCAGGAUGUCCCUACCUCUCUAUAACUACCGUGGCUCCAAGCAAGAACAGGAAGCAAGCGCAUGGAAGGAGGUAAGUCUUCUUUAGGUGCUCACUUUGUAAAUGUGAGGUCAGACACGAGAGAGGACGAGAUGGCAGU